Long non-coding RNA from Piliocolobus tephrosceles (Ugandan red Colobus), 2089 nucleotides. RefSeq lists it as uncharacterized. Lineage: Eukaryota; Metazoa; Chordata; Mammalia; Primates; Cercopithecidae. The transcript has 7 exons. The record is from RefSeq and is a predicted model, not a curated record.
UCGCCAGCAGCUAGCAGCACUUACUAGUAGGAGGGCCCACCGGAGGAGAGCCGCGCGGCCCACGGAAGCGGAACGCGCGUCGAGCGCGCCCUGCCCGCUCGCCCCAGACAGAUGCCCAGUUAUUCAUUACCCCGAGGCCUAGAGGAGCGAAUGGCUGCCGUAUUCCUGCCCAGAGCCAGCCGGAUCCUCCGUCGCGGCUGCCCGGUCCCCGGAGCCGCAGCCGCCGAGCCCGGCUGUGCGUGUCGUGGCUGCUGGGGAGAAAGGCGUCCGGAAACCCCAGAGAGAUUGGUGAUGGUGAUUUCCCAGGAAGACAUGGUGUGCUCUGACUUCUGUGACAGUGAACAACGGGACCAAUGGAUGUCCAGAUGCUGGCAAUGAGACAUGCUCUGGAGUCAGAAGACAGCAAAAAGAGAAGCAGAAGCCCUGGUGGCAGGAGUCCAAAGCAGGAAGGAAUCACUGUAACCUGUGGAUUGUACUGCAGUAGGAAACUAUCCUAGCAAGGCUCCACUUUGCCCCAGCUUCAAGCUGGAAAGGAGGAGAACAUGAAACGUUGCUUGAAGACAAUGGCCGAGACAGCAGGUCCCACCCUGCACAGCCGCCAACAUCUCUUCCCUCAGCCUUGUCUCCUCUUCUGCAGUUGGGAUCUGCACAUUUAGGCCUGAAAUUGUCCUAUGAAGUGAAGUAUGAUCGGACAACCUCUUUUCAGCUUUUAUGAAAAUGGAGACAGAGGAACUGUGGCUCUUGCCAAGGUCACAGGAUUGGAACACAGAGCCAAGCCACCCCAGGACAUGCAAGAGCCUCAGAAGGGAAAAAGCCCAGCAGGAAGGGAGAACAAGUAGCCUCUGUUCUGAGGUUGUAACAGCCAGGGACCAGGAUGGAGGAAGAGGACCCCGUAAUCCUGCCUAUCUGGGACUUGGCAGGGGACCUGGGAAAAUGUACCCCAACCCAUCCCUCAAGGGCCUUUGCCUUUGGCCCAUUGGCCUAGCAUCUCCUUCUUCACUAUGUCUGUUCUUGUCAGAUCUGUUUGGGUCUGAGGUGCAUGGAACAUUCUGGGUAGGCCUCCAGCAAACGGAAGCUCUUCACCGUGUUUCCAGCCUAGGACCAAGGGCAGCACACUGGCAAAGUUGCCAAAGCAAGGGACUCCAGCCUUCUAGGAGUUAAUGACUCCCUCUCCCCAGCUGUCCUCCCCUUGGUGCUCCUCUUCCUCCCUCCUCCUGCUCACAGCAGGCAGGGCCUGGACCCGGGAGCCAUGCUGCUGUGCUGUUGCCAGGGGAGCCCGGAGGCAGAUCUGAGCUAUGCAGGGAAAAGGCCCGGCCUGUCAAAGUGUCUGAGAUGAACCGCCGCCGUCCCUGUGCAGCUGGGCUCAGACGUGUCUCAGCUCUUGUUCUGUGCCUGAGAAUGGCGAAACCCAGUGAGGUUCAAGGGCAAACUCUAUUCAUUAGUCAGGGGUUCUUGACGUCCCGUCUCUCCCAGGGAUGGGUUCCCCCCCUUCCUCUUUCUCCCCCUCCUAUGACACAUUCCUGGGUGCCUUUGGUGAGGACUACACACCCUCCUCCUGCCUAGCCCCCUUUCCAAAGGCCCCUGAAUAAACUCCCCGCAAGGAGACCAGGCAGGGCAGAGACAAUGGCUGCAGGAAAUCAUUCAGGCGGGACAUGCUGGCCUGCCCUCCACCCAGUCCCCCUGUGGGCCCCACUCCCUUCUGAUUCAGGGCACCCUUGGGCCCCUAGCCUAUAGAGGCCUGGAUAGGAAGAAACCACCGGGAACAACCCUAAGGACAUGUUAGUCCAGUGCCAUUCUCCGCUGGCUCUGUGGGUGCCUUUGUGGCCUGCACCAACUGGCAGGCUAAUUUUGUGGUUUCUGUACCAUCACGUGCCUAUUUUAAGACACUCUCAAGCACUGUCAGUUGGGGAGUGUAAAUUCUACAGUAUUUUCUGAAAUGUGGCAAUAUCAAAAUGUAAAAGGCAAAUAUACUUGGUCACAAAAAUGACACUAUUUACUCUGUGGGCAUAUUUGUAAAAGUUCCCAAAGAAUUACAUACAAGGAUGUUCAUCAGAGCAUUUCUUUUGAAGAGUGUAAAGCAAUGGACAUG